Molecule: long non-coding RNA, 1048 nt
Filed under: Vigna radiata
Lineage: Eukaryota; Viridiplantae; Streptophyta; Magnoliopsida; Fabales; Fabaceae
Description: long non-coding RNA (VRAD_LNC007285)
Source: RNAcentral
GGCGAGUGGAGUGCCUCUAUUGCAACAGGUCGCCACUGUCGGACCUCCUUGACCAUCUUCUUGCAAUAAGUUCUUUGAUAGAGGACAUUGAGAAAAAAGAUAAAGAAAAGGAGGCUAAGGAAAAAGAAAGAAAAGAACAAGAAGAGAAAUGGCUCGAGAAUGGAAGAAAGAUAAUAGAGGUGACGGUGGAGGAACAUUCUCGGUGACUGGAGAAGCAUCCUGAAAUACAGAGAAACAUGGCAAAGAGGAUGGAGCAUAAGAGAGUAAGAAGGGAAUGGGAAAUGAAGAUGGCAAAAAAGAGGUACUUGAAAGGUUCUCUUUCCUCUGAAGAAGCUGGAUCAGCUGUCGGACCUCCACCGGUUCUUGUAAUAAACUCUAUCGUAAAGGAGGCAAUGGAAAAACAAAAAGAAGAAGAUAAAGAAGAGGAAAAACAAAAAGAGAUAGAGCAACCACUCUGCGCAUGCUCUUUCUCACUCCUCCUGAUACUUCAACAAUUCAACAUGUUUUCCCUCCUUCGUGCUCGACGAUCGACGAUGGGGCGAGAGGAGCGCCUCGAUUGGUGUUAGGUUAUCAAGGGUUUGUUUGCACUCCAACAAUUGGAACAGGCCGUCGCCGCGGGACCUCCCCAACCAUCUUCUUACAAUAAGUUCUUUGAUAGAGGACAUUGAGAAAAAAAAAAUAAAGAAAAGGAGGCUAAGGAAAAAGAAAGAAAAGAACAAGAAGAGAAAUGGCUCGAGAAUAGAAGAAAGAUAAUAGAGGUGACGAUGGAGGAGCAUUCUCGGUGGCUAGAGAAGUAUCCUAAAAUACAGAGAAACAUGGCAAAAAGGAUGGAGCAUAAGAGAGUAAGAAGGGAAUGGGAAAUGAAGAUGGCAAAAAAGAAGGUACUUGAAAGGUUCUCUUUCCUCUCUCCGAAGAAGCUGAAUCAACUGCCGGACCUCCCCAAACCGGUUCUUGUAAUAAACUCUAUGGUAAAGGAGACAGUGAAAAAACAAAAAGAAGAAGAAAAAGAAAAAGAAAAACAAAAAGAGAUAAAGCAACCACUCUGUUA